CCUACGUGUGGCAGCAGUGAGGAAUAUUGGUCAAUGGACGCAAGUCUGAACCAGCCAUGCAGCGUGCAGGAAGACGGCCCUAUGAGUUGUAAACUGCUUUUGUACGAGGGUAAAUCCCGAUACGUGUAUCGGGUUGAAAGUAUCGUACGAAUAAGGAUCGGCUAAUUCCGUGCCAGCAGCCGCGGUAAUACGGAGGAUUCAAGCGUUAUCCGGAUUUAUUGGGUUUAAAGGGAGCGUAGGCGGUGCGUUAAGUUAGAGGUGAAAUCCCGGGGCUCAACUCCGGCAUUGCCGCGGUUACUGGCGGGCGUGAGUUUGGUGACAGUAGGCGGAAUGUAUGGUGUAGCGGUGAAAUGCAUAGAGAUGAUACAGAACACCGAUUGCGAAGGCAGCUUACCAAAGUACGACUGACGUUGAGGCACGAAAGCGUGGGGAGCGAACAGGAUUAGAUACCCGUGUAGUC
This 460-nucleotide ribosomal RNA is filed under the name uncultured bacterium. RNAcentral's name for it is "partial 16S ribosomal RNA". It matches the Rfam family "Bacterial small subunit ribosomal RNA", at positions 338 to 795 of the family's 1533-position model. The record is from RNAcentral.